AGCAACGCCUAGGCACAGCACUUUUUUGAGUUGGAACUUGAUAGUUGACUUAACUUCAAUAAUUUUACCAUAUAAAUCGUCACUGUGAGAAACAGGAGAAGGGAAUUUACCGGCUAUAGCCAUCGAGUUAGUAACUCUUCCUUAUCAAUCAAAAAACUGAAAGGUGAGGCCGUGCGGUUCAUUCGCUCGUAUAAACUGUAUAUGACUACUUUACAAGCAUAAUAAAAGAACUCCAGCAAACUACAUGCUAGAGCAGUUUUAUUAAUUCAUCUACAAAUCGACAAGAGCGCAAUGCAAAACAGUGGUCAAGAUAGUCCAUGCAUAUCUGAUCAAUCUGUCACACAUACCGCAACAACCGUUAGAAAUAAACUUACCUUUAGAUAAACCAGGACCCAACAAACGAGGGAUUUGCUUAAUAAGAACUUCGGAAGCAAUGAAGGCGUCAUACUUCUUUGCCAACUUUUUCACAAGCUUCUUAUUUUUAUUUAACUUUUUCAAGUCAUCAACAGACAUAGCAUCAACACCUCCGUGCUUAGCACGAUCAAGAUCAUGGGCAUCACCAAGAAUGCAUAUACUCAUGUUAGGACGGGGGACAUUGGGCAACUUGAUAGUACCAGAGAAACGCUUGUCACGCUGAGGGUCAUAGUUCUUCAAACCGAUCUGAAGCUCUACUGUCUCAGUAAAAUUACGUUUUUUCUCCUCUGAACCCUUGAGAAUGGUUUCAACACUAGAACGAAUAUUGGCAGGAGAAACUUUUGACAUCUUCAAUAUUCAGAAUGCAAUAUAACAAAAUUUAAAACGUUUUCAGUUUAACAUUAACUUCUACUAUCUUUGUGACUGUUUCUAUAUAGCUCAGCUUCAGUACACAAUGGUAUUACAACGAGA
This is a non-coding RNA of Schizosaccharomyces pombe (fission yeast), 885 nucleotides long. The record is from the annotation of a GenBank genome assembly. NCBI's taxonomy places the organism in Eukaryota, Fungi, Ascomycota, Schizosaccharomycetes, Schizosaccharomycetales, Schizosaccharomycetaceae.